GAUGAACGCUGGCGGCGUGCUUAACACAUGCAAGUCGAACGAGAAGUGAAGACGGAAACCUUCGGGCGGAAGGCUUUAUUUCGAGUGGCGGACGGGUGAGUAACGCGUGGGUAACCUGCCUCAUACAGGGGGAUAACAGUUGGAACCGACUGUUAAUACCGCAUAAGACCACAGCACCGCAUGGUGCGGGGGUAAAAACUCCGGUGGGAUGAGAUGGACCCGCGUUCGAUUAGCCAGUUGGCGGGGUAACGGCCCACCAACGCGACGAUCGAUAGCCGAUCUGAGAGGAUGACCGGCCACAUUGGGACUGAGACACGGCCCAAACUCCUACGGGAGGCAGCAGUGGGGAAUAUUGCACAAUGGGGGAAACCCUGAUGCAGCGACGCCGCGUGAGUGAAGAAGUAUUUCGGUAUGUAAAGCUCUAUCAGCAGGGAAGAAAAUGACGGUACCUGAGUAAGAAGCCCCGGCUAACUACGUG
Molecule: ribosomal RNA, 478 nt
Filed under: uncultured bacterium
Lineage: Bacteria
Description: partial 16S ribosomal RNA
Rfam family: Bacterial small subunit ribosomal RNA
Source: RNAcentral